Long non-coding RNA from Anser brachyrhynchus (Pink-footed goose), 1815 nucleotides. NCBI's taxonomy places the organism in Eukaryota, Metazoa, Chordata, Aves, Anseriformes, Anatidae. The record is from Ensembl.
GUGCAGGUGGUCUUUUGAAGGCCACAGUUCUACUUCCAGCUGACAUCCAUAAGUGUAUUAGUCAGUCCUGCUGAAAUGUGAGUCCUACUUCUCAUUCUUCCUCCUACCAUUGUCUCUUUCCUUUCUUGGUCCCAGCCAUAUCAUCCUAUUUAUUUUUGUGAUAGGUUAGUUUUCAGCAAGGUUAGGUCAACUCGCAGAAAAGACCUGUGGGCACCAAAGUCAGCAUAUGGAACAGGACAGAAAUCUGAGCCUGGCUCAGGAGUUUGUCAUCCAGAUUUCUACUCUUUGAGCACAGACACUAUCGGAGGAGACAGACAGUCUCCCAGGACAGUUAGGUCCUGUCUGCACUAUGCAAGCAACUAAAGGAGAGGAGAUCUCUUUCUUUCCUUCUCAUCCUUCCCACCACUCUAAAAAUCUAGAAGAGCAGUCAUCUGCAUUCUGCAUUCAUCUCAGUGUCGAGAGGAAAAAACAUUGCAACGAUUUUUCUGGAUUGGAAAAAACUCUUUCUCCCUACUUGGAUGGUAAAGCUGCUGUUACCAAGUGCCUAUGCUACUGCCAGCAAUAUGUCUCAGCCAGGGGCACAGGUUGCUCAGUUUUCAUCAAAGCAGCAGAGGGAAAUGGCUAUGUGGAGCAUGCUUUGCAGUUGCCUGCUGAAACCUCUGAGACUGGCUCUGAAUUUCCUGCUUUGAAACGUUUUGCUGCCAUAGUGCAACGGUUCAUGAAGCACAAUAACACUUCUCUUCUGGCCUCCAGGACACUCUCUCAUAUGGGCAGGAUGUGGCUCCCUGUGUUCCGUCUCCUCCUAGUUAUUUGUUUGUGUAAUGAAAUCUUCCACACUGACAUAGCAUUCUUGCAUGCUUUUAUAUAAGACAAACUACUUGUUUGAAAUAUCAUCAGUCCCUUGAAUUGCAAUGUAUAUGCUCUCCUUGUGUCUUUGUUGGUACUGCCUCUGCAAUACCAUAAAACAUUUAGAGAGGUGUUAUUCUGCUAAUGUGUACUGCAGUUGUGGCUGGAGCUGGGUUACAUUUUUCUGUAGUAAUUAACUGAGAAUUUUAGUUUGUACAUAGUGGUGGAUUAAACGGGAUGAUCAAAACGGGGGUCUCAUCUCAUAUGACCAAAUGCUUAGCAUUCAUGUUGGAGGUUGCUCCUCGUAGCAGAGUACUCUGAAUAGCUCAUGAAUCAAGCCUUGAAACUAGUUCGCAUUAGCAAACUGUCUGUAGGCCCUGCAGCAGCUCCAGAUCUGCUCCAAGAGCAGCCCAGCUACCCCUGAGGGCAGCACCCCUUCUAGAAAGGAUAAGGCAGAUGACAGAGCAUAAUGCAUGUUUCACGUGUCUGACUUCAAUACCCUACCAUGUGUGAGUAAGAACCCUUAGAUAUUUUACGGGGAGGAAAAAAAAAAAAAAGACAAUUAUUUAUGUACCAAAUAGCUACUAGAAGGGCUUUUGUUAUUCUGACUGAGUACAAUGUAUGUGAAAAGCAGAAAGAAUCAGCAUGAGAAAAAGAUACUAGAGACCAGCAUAGGUGAGCAGGAGAUGAAAGAAAGAAAAAGAUGAAGGCGGUAAAGGUGAGGCGGAAUGAGGCAGUAGCUACGAUGUCCUCUGCAAGUAUAUGUGAACCUGGUCUGUGUUCCAAAUCCUCUGGCUCGGUAGGACACUACUAAAGGUUGUUGUUUUUUUAACGCAGUCAAAAGUCUAUCAUUUGGAGAAGAGGUUGAUGCAUUUUGCCACCUCUGAACAAGCAUAAGCAGAAGUCAUCCUCUGUCAGUAGAAGUGAGCAAAAAUAACCUCUCAUGAGUGGUGGUUAAACGUCUUAGUC